RNAcentral lists this ribosomal RNA (497 nucleotides) under uncultured bacterium. RNAcentral describes it as "partial 16S ribosomal RNA". It matches the Rfam family "Bacterial small subunit ribosomal RNA", at positions 28 to 507 of the family's 1533-position model. The record is from RNAcentral.
GAUGAACGCUGGCGGCGUGCCUAAUACAUGCCAGUCGAGCGAACAGACGAGGAGCUUGCUCCUUUGACGUUAGCGGCGGACGGGUGAGUAACACGUGGAUAACCUACCUAUAAGACUGGGAUAACUUCGGGAAACCGGAGCUAAUACCGGAUAACAUGUUGAACCGCAUGGUUCAACAGUGAAAGACGGUCUUGCUGUCACUUAUAGAUGGAUCCGCGCCGCAUUAGCUAGUUGGUAAGGUAACGGCUUACCAAGGCAACGAUGCGUAGCCGACCUGAGAGGGUGAUCGGCCACACUGGAACUGAGACACGGUCCAGACUCCUACGGGAGGCAGCAGUAGGGAAUCUUCCGCAAUGGGCGAAAGCCUGACGGAGCAACGCCGCGUGAGUGAAGAAGGUCUUCGGAUCGUAAAACUCUGUUAUUAGGGAAGAACAAAUGUGCAAGUAACUAUGCACGUCUUGACGGUACCUAAUCAGAAAGCCACGGCUAACUACGUG